Molecule: non-coding RNA, 74 nt
Organism: Myotis davidii
Lineage: Eukaryota; Metazoa; Chordata; Mammalia; Chiroptera; Vespertilionidae
Source: Rfam
GGAGGUUCUUGGGUGAUGCAUCCCAGAAUAGGGUUCCCUCCUCUCUGGUUCCGGUGCAUCACCCAAGAACCGCA